AACGAACGCUGGCGGCAGGCCUAACACAUGCAAGUCGAGCGGGCGUAGCAAUACGUCAGCGGCGGACGGGUGAGUAACACGUGGGAAUAUGCCUUUCGGUUUGGAACAACUCGGGGAAACCCGUGCUAAUUCCGGAUACGCCCUUAGGGGGAAAGAUUUAUCGCCGAAAGAUUAGCCCGCGUCCGAUUAGCUAGUUGGUGAGGUAAACGGCCCACCAAGGCGACGAUCGGUAGCUGGUUUGAGAGAACGACCAGCCACACUGGGACUGAGACGCGGCCCAGACUCCUACGGGAGGCAGCAGCGAGGAAUUUUGCGCAAUGGGCGAAAGCCUGACGCAGCAACGCCGCGUGGGUGAUGAAGGCCUU
Molecule: ribosomal RNA, 365 nt
Filed under: uncultured bacterium
Lineage: Bacteria
Description: bacterial SSU rRNA
Rfam family: Bacterial small subunit ribosomal RNA
Source: RNAcentral